GCUCCGUAGGUGAACCUGCGGAGGGAUCAUUACAGAGUUCAUGCCCUACCGGGUAGAUCUCCCACCCUAUGUUAUUAUUACUUUGUUGCUUUGGCGGGCCGUUAGGCUCCGGCCCGACUACCGGCCCCGGCUGGUAAGCGCCCGCCAGAGGACCCAAAACCCUGAAUAUUAGUGUCGUCUGAGUACUAUAUAAUAGUUAAAACUUUCAACAACGGAUCUCUUGGUUCCA
RNAcentral lists this unclassified non-coding RNA (229 nucleotides) under plant metagenome. RNAcentral describes it as "partial contains small subunit ribosomal RNA, internal transcribed spacer 1, and 5.8S ribosomal RNA". The record is from RNAcentral.